GGCCUUGUAGUACAAUGGAUAGUACUAGAGUUUCCGAAGCUCUCGAUCCAGGUUCGAUUCCCGGCAAGGCCA
This 72-nucleotide transfer RNA is filed under the name Bacteroidetes bacterium UKL13-3. It matches the Rfam family "tRNA". Rfam says of the family: Transfer RNA (tRNA) molecules are approximately 80 nucleotides in length. Their secondary structure includes four short double-helical elements and three loops (D, anti-codon, and T loops). Further hydrogen bonds mediate the characteristic L-shaped molecular structure. tRNAs have two regions of fundamental functional importance: the anti-codon, which is responsible for specific mRNA codon recognition, and the 3' end, to which the tRNAs corresponding amino acid is attached (by aminoacyl-tRNA synthetases). tRNAs cope with the degeneracy of the genetic code in two manners: having more than one tRNA (with a specific anti-codon) for a particular amino acid; and 'wobble' base-pairing, i.e. permitting non-standard base-pairing at the 3rd anti-codon position. Lineage: Bacteria; Pseudomonadati; Bacteroidota. The record is from Rfam by way of RNAcentral. RNAcentral also lists the same sequence under 2 other names.